UAUACUGCAAGUCGAGCGGAUUGAUGGGAGCUUGCUCCCUGAAUCAGCGGCGGACGGGUGAGUAACACGUGGGUAACCUGCCUGUAAGACUGGGAUAACUCCGGGAAACCGGGGCUAAUACCGGAUAGUUCUUUUCCUCGCAUGAGGAAAAGUGGAAAGGCGGCUUCGGCUGCCACUUACAGAUGGACCCGCGGCGCAUUAGCUAGUUGGUGAGGUAACGGCUCACCAAGGCAACGAUGCGUAGCCGACCUGAGAGGGUGAUCGGCCACACUGGGACUGAGACACGGCCCAGACUCCUACGGGAGGCAGCAGUAGGGAAUCUUCCGCAAUGGACGAAAGUCUGACGGAGCAACGCCGCGUGAGUGAUGAAGGUUUUCGGAUCGUAAAGCUCUGUUGUUAGGGAAGAACAAGUGCCGUUCGAAUAGGGCGGCACCUUGACGGUACCUAACCAGAAAGCCACGGCUAACUACGUGCCAGCAGCCGCGGUAAUACGUAGGUGGCAAGCGUUGUCCGGAAUUAUUGGGCGUAAAGCGCGCGCAGGCGGUCUCUUAAGUCUGAUGUGAAAGCCCACGGCUCAACCGUGGAGGGUCAUUGGAAA
RNAcentral lists this ribosomal RNA (598 nucleotides) under Bacillus sp. CH62_2B. Its description in RNAcentral is "bacterial SSU rRNA". It matches the Rfam family "Bacterial small subunit ribosomal RNA", at positions 50 to 632 of the family's 1533-position model. Lineage: Bacteria; Bacillati; Bacillota; Bacilli; Caryophanales; Bacillaceae. The record is from RNAcentral.